RNAcentral lists this ribosomal RNA (465 nucleotides) under uncultured bacterium. RNAcentral describes it as "partial 16S ribosomal RNA". It matches the Rfam family "Bacterial small subunit ribosomal RNA", at positions 28 to 507 of the family's 1533-position model. The record is from RNAcentral.
GACGAACGCUGGCGGCGUGCUUAACACAUGCAAGUCGAACGGAAAGGCCCUGCUUGCAGGGUACUCGAGUGGCGAACGGGUGAGUAACACGUGGGUGUUCUGCCCUGCACUUCGGGAUAAGCCUGGGAAACUGUGUCUAAUACCGGAUAGGAGCCCUUUUUCUUCUUAUGGUUGGAUAGUUUUUUGGGGGUAGGAUGAGUUCGCGGCCUAUCAGCUUGUUGGUGGGGUAAUGGCCUACCUAGGGGGCUACGGGUAGCCGGCCUGAGAGGGUGGACGGCCAAAUUGGGAAUGGGGAACGGCCCAGACUCCUAAGGGGGGCAGGAGUGGGGAAUAUUGGACAAUGGGGGCAAGCCCGAUGCAGCGAAGCCGCGGGGGGGAUGACGGGCUUCGGGUUGGAAACUCCUUUCGCUAGGGAAGAAGCUUUUUGUGACGGUACCUAGAUAAGAAGCACCGGCUAACUACGUG